GAGUGGUGGUCCUUGUGUCCUCAUUUCCUCUAGUCUGUCCCAAGCUUCAUCGAUGUCUUCAUCCUCCUUCUGCUCAAAGCUACAUAUUUCCUUUCUCAACUU
Small nucleolar RNA from Panicum virgatum (switchgrass), 102 nucleotides. NCBI's taxonomy places the organism in Eukaryota, Viridiplantae, Streptophyta, Magnoliopsida, Poales, Poaceae. The record is from RefSeq and is a predicted model, not a curated record.